Molecule: non-coding RNA, 1053 nt
Organism: Paramuricea clavata
Lineage: Eukaryota; Metazoa; Cnidaria; Anthozoa; Malacalcyonacea; Plexauridae
Source: the annotation of a GenBank genome assembly
CUCGCUAUUCUGUAGAUAUUUCGCAAUGUUUGACAUGCAAAUUACACUAUGAUGUCUAAUUGCUUAAUAAUUUACUGAACAAAAAUAAAAAAAUCCUCAGACUUUGAGAAAGCACAAAACUAAAAAGCCCUACAACCUUUUUAUCGGCAAUACAAAUGAUACAUCAUAUUGAGGUUCAUUUGCCCAUUGAACACAAUCCUAAUUUAUAUUAUAAUGUCAGAUCUAUUUUCACUUGAUUUAUUUUCUGUUUAUCUCUUUUUAGCUCAAGUAAAACAGGCUUUGCUCCUGGCGUCGAAAGAAGAACAAGGAAUGCGAUUUGGUGAAGAGUUUGAAAGGCGAGUGUGGGAGCCUUGAAGGACAAGCAUUACAAGAGAAAUUGAAAUAAUAUGCAGGAUAUACAGUACCACAAAAAAUUAUCAAACGAAACAAGUAGAAAAGACAUAUAAUAAGAGUAGAAGCACUCCUGUGCAACCAUUCGUAUUUCGCUAUUUUUCGCAUCUGCGAAAUUUUCGCAGAUGCGAAAAAUAGCCGUCGUAGAAUCACUGAAUCAGGCCGUAAUGUGGACGGUGAAGUACAGCCCAGAAGACCUCCCAGGGAGAGGGGUUUUCUGCAUGACGAACAAAAUAAUCCCAUUGUUCUGAACACAAAAGGAAUUGUCAAAUAAGUGAAAGUGGAGAAAGUUUGAAACGUGGCAUUACAGCGUGGUUUUUAAGGAUCACUGUAGGUACUAAAUUUGCUAGUAAGCUGUCCCACUUUGUUUGCAAGACGAGAACCAAUAGAGAAACAGUCUGUGGUAUUCUUACCUUUGCUAUAAGACGUCCAUGUUUGUCAAAGCAAAUAUAUAGAGACUUUUUCAUGCCUCUUAUAUGAACUUUACCAAAGGAAACUGUAAGGAUUUCAAGAUCAGCUGUAUAAAAAAGACGGAAAUUCAGUUCAAUCUUUUUCAGUCAUGUUUAGUUAACAGAGCAAAACUAUAAGUUGGUGAAUAGUGAAAUUUACUGAACUCUCCAGCUCAUUCAUAGUUCGUAAUAAAUAAUAAUAACGGUAAUAAUA